ACUCAAAGGAAUUGACGGGGACCCGCACAAGCAGCGGAGCAUGUGGUUUAAUUCGAAGCAACGCGAAGAACCUUACCAGGGCUUGACUUCCCACUGACAGGCGUGUAACGGCGCCCUUCUUCGGACAGUGGUGACAGGUGGUGCAUGGUUGUCGUCAGCUCGUGUCGUGAGAUGUUGGGUUAAGUCCCGCAACGAGCGCAACCCUUGUCAUUAGUUGCCAUCAGGUCAUGCUGGGCACUCUAAUGAGACUGCCGGGGACAACUCGGAGGAAGGUGGGGAUGACGUCAAAUCAUCAUGCCCCUUAUGUUCUGGGCUACACACGUGCUACAAUGGCCGGUACAAUGAGACGCAAUACGGCGACGUGGAGCAAAUCACCAAAACCGGUCCCAGUUCGGAUUGCAGGCUGAAACCCGCCUGCAUGAAGUCGGAGUUGCUAGUAAUCGUAAAUCAGAAUGUUACGGUGAAUACGUUCCCGGGUCUUGUACACACCGCCCGU
RNAcentral lists this ribosomal RNA (496 nucleotides) under uncultured bacterium. Its description in RNAcentral is "bacterial SSU rRNA". It matches the Rfam family "Bacterial small subunit ribosomal RNA", at positions 899 to 1397 of the family's 1533-position model. The record is from RNAcentral.